This is a long non-coding RNA of Erigeron canadensis, 459 nucleotides long. RefSeq lists it as uncharacterized. The record is from RefSeq and is a predicted model, not a curated record. Lineage: Eukaryota; Viridiplantae; Streptophyta; Magnoliopsida; Asterales; Asteraceae. The transcript is spliced from 3 exons.
ACCACCAUCUACCGCCGCCGGCUUAUUUCUUUUUUUUUCCAUCGCCGCCGCCCCACAAACCACCAUCCCCGCCGCAGAAAUCAACAUCCAUCGCCGCCGAAAUCACACCCUGUCAAAUAUAGGCUCAAGAUCUUCAACUUCCAAUGAUGGGUAUCAUGAUACUUGAAUUGUUGUUUGGAUAAUGCGUCUGAAGAAGUGAAGAAAGCAGACCGACUUUUGGAGUAUGAGCGUUAAAUUGAAGCAGGUGAUUUUGAAGGUGGUGAUAAUUGUGAGGUGAGGUCGCAAGUGUUUGAGUAUUUGAAAGAUGUAUGAAAAAAUGCAUAGCAGCUUCAUGAAUUGUAUUAUCAGAGACGUAGAUUAGUGUUUUUAAUCAUAUUUGACGAAUUUAAUAUGCAUAGAGUUUGUCCAAUUACUGCGGAUGCUUUGCUGAUAUUUAGGAAUGCUUUAGUUGAAUUUCAA